GGAGGGCAAGUCUGGUGCCAGCAGCCGCGGUAAUUCCAGCUCCAAUAGCGUAUAUUAAAAUUGUUGCAGUUAAAAAGCUCGUAGUUGAAUUUCUGCUGCAUUGCUUUUGCUCCUUUACGAGUCUUUGCAUUGUGGCUUAUUUCGGACUUUGUUUUACAAUGUCCGGAUGUUUACUUUGAGAAAAUUAGAGUGCUCAAAGCAGGCUUUCGCCUUGAAUAGUUUAGCAUGGAAUAAUAAAGUAGGACUUUGGUUCUAUUUUGUUGGUUUUAGGUACCAAAGUAAUGGUUAAUAGGAACAGUUGGGGGCAUUCGUAUUUAACUGUCAGAGGUGAAAUUCUUAGAUUUGUUAAAGACGAACUACUGCGAAAGCAUUUGCCAAGGAUGUUUUCAUUAAUCAAGAACGAAAGU
This 407-nucleotide ribosomal RNA is filed under the name Theileria ovis. RNAcentral describes it as "SSU rRNA". It matches the Rfam family "Eukaryotic small subunit ribosomal RNA", at positions 550 to 990 of the family's 1831-position model. Lineage: Eukaryota; Apicomplexa; Aconoidasida; Piroplasmida; Theileriidae. The record is from RNAcentral.